GCCUUCGUGGCGUAAUGGUCAGCACACUGAGCCGGUAUUUCAGAGGUCCGUGGUUCGAUCCCCGGCGAAGGCA
Molecule: non-coding RNA, 73 nt
Organism: Stegodyphus mimosarum
Lineage: Eukaryota; Metazoa; Arthropoda; Arachnida; Araneae; Eresidae
Source: Rfam